GCGUUGGUGGUUUAGUGGUAAAAUUCAUCGUUGCCAUGUAGUUGAAUGCCUUACUGGAAAUUCAACGACGACUCGAUGAGCCCCGGGUUCGAUUCCCGGCCGACGCA
Molecule: transfer RNA, 107 nt
Filed under: Macrophomina phaseolina
Lineage: Eukaryota; Fungi; Ascomycota; Dothideomycetes; Botryosphaeriales; Botryosphaeriaceae
Description: tRNA-Gly
Rfam family: tRNA
About the family: Transfer RNA (tRNA) molecules are approximately 80 nucleotides in length. Their secondary structure includes four short double-helical elements and three loops (D, anti-codon, and T loops). Further hydrogen bonds mediate the characteristic L-shaped molecular structure. tRNAs have two regions of fundamental functional importance: the anti-codon, which is responsible for specific mRNA codon recognition, and the 3' end, to which the tRNAs corresponding amino acid is attached (by aminoacyl-tRNA synthetases). tRNAs cope with the degeneracy of the genetic code in two manners: having more than one tRNA (with a specific anti-codon) for a particular amino acid; and 'wobble' base-pairing, i.e. permitting non-standard base-pairing at the 3rd anti-codon position.
Source: RNAcentral